RNAcentral lists this long non-coding RNA (12086 nucleotides) under Setaria viridis. RNAcentral's name for it is "long non-coding RNA (SVIR_LNC001351)". Lineage: Eukaryota; Viridiplantae; Streptophyta; Magnoliopsida; Poales; Poaceae. The record is from RNAcentral.
CCCGAUCGAUCAAGGUCCAUGACCAUCAGCUGCCCGUAGCGAACGAACUGCUGCUAUUUCUUGCCUAACCAUACUGCAAAGAACAAGUGGUGCUCAUUUCCUCUUAUCUUCGGUUCGUUUGCAACUCCCAAUGCAUCCCAUCCCAUGCCUCAGCCUCAGUCACCAUUCAACUGCCAUCCUGAUGACAACAAUUGUCGUUCACCAGGUCUCUCACCCAGCUUCCAUCUUGCUACUCUGAUCUGAUACAUAAACAUAAAGGAGGCCGAUGAAGUCAUAUCUUGGAUGUUGCCAGCAGAGGUAACGAUAUUUUUAAUAAGGUACAUACCCAUGCAUGUAGUUGCGUGCAAUAAAUUGAGCAUUUUGGUUUUUAUUGCUUCAAAGCCAGUAGGAUAGCUUCAGGAUGAAUAUUAUUACAGAUACACUAGCUGCAAACGUGGACAUGUAUGACGUAUUAUAAUGAGGAUAACUGGAACUCUGGAAGGAUGCCCUGGCCGUGGUGGAGCUUAAUUAUAUUCUCGGGCCAGGGCCUCCCAGAGUAACGCUAAGUCAGGCUUGCUGGCUUGGCUGAAGUACCUGUGGGGGCUUCUUGUUAUCAAGAAACCGCUGCUCCAGCAGGAGCAGAAAACUUGCCUGAAGCCGCAGCCGAAAAAGAAGGAUAAGCCAAAGACUCCAUCCAUGACCAAUCCGCUCUAUUAAUCGACUAGAUGUGUAUAUGCUUAUGCUUAACCACUAUUAGAAACAAAAUCAUGCAUAACUAGCCAAAUGAUUGAGGUCAUAUCUCUGAAGUUCAACUUGAAUAAUUAUUUGUCUGCAUGUAUUGUUCGGUUCAAAUACUGUGCGUCUUAGUAUUCUAAGUAAAGCAUUUCAUUCGUACUUAUAUGUACGAAUACUGUAGCGAACAUGGCCUUGAUAAGCCAUGAUAUUGGUAAUUCAAUGACAAUAUGGUCAUUCAGACUAACAAAGUGUUGAGAAACAUGUUUUAAAGGUAUUCUAGGUCCCAAGGAAGCAACUACAACCAAAGACAACCAAAGAAACAAAGAAAUCUAGGAAAAUACACCAUCGGAUGUUUCGAUGGCCCCCAGAUAAGCGUCGGAGCAAUUGAUAUGCUGCGAUGAAGUCAAGCCAAAGUCGACUAGCAUCGGACAAAUUCUGAGGGACAGGCUUGGAAGACGAAGAAAAUUAUUUAGCACCGGAUGAUCCGAUGGAAGGCAAAAGAGGAGCGUCGAACAAAGAAAAUUUACUUUGAAAUCAGACAGAAGGUUUCGGCCAGAAAGCCCUUCAGCACCGGAUGAUCCGAUGGGUGCAUCGGAUGAAUUUUGGGUGUGUCAGUGGAGAACUUGGCACGGGGAAUCCAACUGCUAGUUGCACCGGAUGUUCUGAUGCAGGCCAAAAAUAGACCAUCGGAACAUCCGAUGGUAUACAUUUUCACUAGCCGUUGGAGCAACGGCUCUUUGAGCCUUUGGGGCUAUUUAUACCCCCACCACUCGUCCAUUUAGAGUGGCUGGAGUGUCAAAGGAUGCAUUGAAGACCAAGACUCAUAAAGAAGACAUCCAAACUACCAAAAGUAAGCUUAUCACAAGCUUAGGAGAGUGAUUAGUGCUAGGAUAGGCCUUCAGAGGAGUGAGUGCAAGGUGUGCUAACCUUGUGAUCAAGUUCUAGAGUGAACCACCGCUGUCAACAGGUGUGCCGGUGCCUUGGAGCCUUCGUGGCUCACCGGCAAGUCUUCGACCCUCCGGCUUGGUGUGGAGCAGCGUCGACAACCUUUUGCGGGGGAUGUGGAGACCUCCUCCCUUCGUGGACAAGCUCCUUAGUGGAGAUGGCAUCAAGGUGACCGAGGGACUUGGUGUGAGCCUUAGUGGCCGAGCCUUUGUGGCAAGUCAAGGGGCAUCUUGGGAGAGACUUGGUGACCAAGAAGCAAUACUCUUGUGUGAGUGCUUCAACAACAUGGACUAGUGGUGGCUUAGUGCGUACUGAUACCACGGAAUAAAAAUCAUCAUGUCAAGAGUUUGCUUCCCCUCAUCCUAACCUCUUACGUUUCUGCAUUUUAUAAUUGCAACUUACGUGCCUUUACUUUCUUAGUAUAGUAUCUUACUAGGAUUGGCUCUAAGUUGCAAAACUUGUUUUGGGAUGAGAGUUUCACACUAGAUCAACCGUAGAGUGCACAUCUAGGUUAGAAUGAUCUAGUUUUUGUUCAUACAAAGUAGUGGAAGACAUAGGUUAAGGUUUUAAAUUGGCUAAUUCACCCCCUCCCCCCUCCCCUUUUAGGCUACGAGCACCGAUUUCUCACAAAUACAUAAUUUCCGAGUAAUUACUUAUAUUGUGGGAUGAUGAUCGAUGAUAAAAUAAUUUAUAUAUCUCCAUGCUUCAUCCUUGGGUAUGUUGUUGUUACUGACACAAUGCAUGUCAUAUGGUCUCCCAUCGCUGUUACACAACCGGGCAUCAGCUAGUCACGGCUGGAAAAGCCCCAGAAUAUUGGGGAGUAUAACUAAAGGUGUGUUGAGUUGGGCAGCUGCUUAGGCGUUCCAGGAAGUAGAAGUAGGUGCAGGGACAGGGUUGAUUUCAAUUUUCAAAUUAUUAGACAUGCCAAGCAUCUGGUUGCACGUGACCCAAUUUCAUCGUUCCAGAACUACCAAAUGCAACAUAAUUGGAUGGCCUUGUAGCCUGACAAUACUCCAAUUAAAACUACUGAGGGUUGCUAAUAGUAGUGUGCUGCGUUGGGGAGCUGCUUAGGCGUUCAUGAAAAAGUGGACGAGAGAUUAGUGCGGUCGUCUGAAUGAGAAUAAAUAGCAGUAGAAGGUGGUUCCAAAUUACUCCCUUCAUCCCGUCCCAAAUUAUAAAUUAUUUUAUCUUUUUAGAUUCAUAUGUUUUACUAUAUGCAUCUAUAUGCACUUAGAUGUAUAUUAUGUUCAGAUGCAUCUUAAAAAAUAUGUACCGAGGUGGUUUUAAACGAAUGACCUUUUUCACCUUUCCAAAACUAGCAUAUGCAACAUGAUUGGAUGGCGUCGCAGCCUAAUCAUAAAACUACUGAACCAUUUAAUUACCUAUUAUAUUACUGUGUCUUUGCAAACCAGAGGACACUGUUUAACGUCUCCAGGAAAUAAAAAAAGUUUGACAGCAUACGUAUUAGCAACUUGGUGCUCCUCUAACUGGGCAGCUUUUCUCCUUGAACUAUUUGACUUUUUAAUGGAAAAACUAGCACUAACUCCUGGACAACUAAGCUAUCCUAUUUACACGGGCAAUCGAGCCCUAUUGAUGAUUUGAUGGUACAAUCCCACAAUAAUCAACACAGACACCAUGCUUUAAUUUACUUCCCGAUCUGAACCGCCAAAACAAUAUAAAAAUAUACAAUCAAGAUUACCAUUAAUGGUUAUGUCUAACACGUAGCCAUGCCAGCUUUCCUGGGCUCCAAUUGAACCUAAUGCCGGACGGGUUGGAGCUGCACCAGUCCUCUGGAGCAUAGGAUCUGUUCCACAUCACACCCUCCCCUUGCAUCUACCACUACUAGUAGAAAAAUGACCUCUCGUCCCUAGUCUUAGUACCGGUUGUUUUAGAUCCGGUACUAAUGUUAGCAUUAGUACCGGCUCCAAAUUUAGGAUUCUCCGGAGGCCCUCUAGUACCGGAUGGGGGCUCCAUCUGGUUGGAGCCUCCACCCGGUACUCCAACCGGUACUAGAGGGUGACCUCUAGUAAUGGGGGGAGCCCCCAGCCGGUACUAGAGGCCUCCCCCCGUCCACCUACACGACACUUAGAAUUUUUUACCUCCUCCAGCCCACGCGCACUACAUGCAUCUGCCUUAUCCUCUCUCCCCCCAUCUCCUCCUCCUCCUUCUCUCUCUCACGUCUCUCCCUUCUCUUCCUCUUCCUUCUUCCCUCACUCUCUCCUUACUCCCUCACUCCCGGCGGCAGGGAGGUAGGGGGCACGGAGGGGGCCGGCGGCGGGGAGGUUGGGGCUGCCGGCAGUGAGGAGGCGGGGAGGCGGGGAGCCGACGGAAGGGAGGUAGGGGGCCACCGGCAGGGGUGGGGGGCCUGGAGGGAUUUUUCUUUUUUUUUAAUUUUUUAGCACCCUCUAGUACCGAGGACCCCCUAUAGUACCGACUGGCCAGCCGGUACAAGGGGGGGGUUAUGGGACCAGUAUAAGAGGCACAUUUUCUAGUAGUAGUGUACUACCAUCACCAUGUAAAACACCUCGAAUUUAUUUUUAAAAAAUUCAGUUUGACUAAGACGAGUCCUUUGUCUACAUAGCACCCCCUGUUAUAUCGUCGAUGUUGCAGCCAACAAUUUUUUAAUAAGGUGCAUGCCCCACUAGUAGAGAACUCGGUAUUAGUCCCAGUUGGUAGGAUGCAAAUCUCCCGAAAAUCCAUCCGGGAUAAACCAACCGGGACAAAAGACCCCUUUUGUCCCGGGUCACUCAACCGGGACUAAAGACCCCCUUUUAUCCCGGUUGGUAAUACCAACUGAGAUAAAAUAGGUCACCAUGCCAGGCGCUGCAAAAAAAAAAGAAAUCCCGGGAGGACACCCCCCCACACGCGCAAAGUCACAAGUCACGCGAUUUUUCACGCGAAAUAUGUGCGUGCGCGCUGCGUGGGAUUUGAACCCACAACCUCCAGCCUCGCGCAUAGAUUCCUUGCCAUCCCACCUACAUAGCACAUCUGACUAAAUAGGGGAUGCAAUCCUUUGGUAUUAACUCAUGGGGGAUCCUUUUAUCCCGGUUGGAAACACCAACCGGGAUAAAAGGCCCCCUUUUAUCCCGGUUGGUAUUACAAACUGGGAUAAAAGGGUUCAAGAGAUUUAGUCCUCUUUCAGCCACCCCGUUGGGGACCCUUUUAUCCCGAUUUGAAACACCAACCGGGAUAAAAGACCCCCUUUUAUCCCGGUUGGUAUUACAAAUCGGGAUAAAAGGCUCUCGACCCUUUUAUCCCGGUUGGUGUUACCAAUCGGGAUAAAAGGGGGGUCUUUUAUCCCGGUUGGUGUUUCAAACCGGGAUAAAAGACCUCUCAGGGUCUUUUUUUCCACUAGCCUUUGCUACCGGGAUAAAAAGUCCCGGUUGGUGAGGCCCCCACCAGUGACCGAGCUUUAGUCCCGGUUGGUGAACCUUUUAUCCCGAGCCAACUUUAAACCGGGACAAAAUGGGGUGCAUGGAAGGUGAGUUCUUUACUAGUGCCCUUGUAGUUGCAUGCAAUAAUUUGAGCAUUUUCUUUAUAGCUUCAAAACCAGUAGGUAUACAAACACUAAUGGGCGGUUUUCUGGUAGCCGCUUGGGUAAAAAAAAAGUUUUGUCCAAUAUCACUAUUUUUUAUGCAGUAUUUUCAAAGGCCGAUGGUGAUAACUAUUUCCUCUGCCAGUUCCAAAACCGACGAUGAUGUGCACCAUUAUUACUGUGUUCAUGCUCGUAAUUGACACACUUUUAGUGCUAUUUAACUAGUGUUGUCAUGCAUUUUCUUAUACUAACCUGCUACUUGACACGUGAAAUAACUAUCGGUGUUUAAACCCAGCAACCUACUGAGAGGAGUGCCCGAGGUAGUGUUUUGAUUAGUGGGGCUCGUCGAGAUCAGGAACUCGAAGGUAGAUGCAGAUACAAGAUUUAGACAGGUUUGGACUGCUGAAUAGCGUAAUAUCCUACGUCCUAUGUAUUGGUUGGAUUGAAUUGCUUUGGGGAGGGUCUCUGCCUCACCUUAUAUUGCAUGGGAUAGGGUUACAGGUCGGUUGGUUACAAGAUUCAACUAGAUGAGUUCUACUCUUAUUACUAUGAGUACUUUUCUAAUCCUCGACUAGUUUCUAUCUUUCCACGUAGACUACACCGUCAUGCGCCAUAGUCUCCAUAUUAGAUGCAAAUCGGUGUCCAGCCCCAUAUUUAGGACUGUCCAAACCUUCUGGUGGGCCUAUACAUGUAUGUACGACAAGCCCCUGAGUACUUUUUAGUCAAAUGCAGCAAUUCCGAAUACUUUUGUAGACUUCACCGACUAGUUUGGUGCUCUUCGAGUACUUCAUCUGGUUGAAUCUUCAAAGGUACCCCAAGACUGCCAUGCAGCUACAAUGUACUCAAGCCUCAUUUAACUUUAGUCUUGUGUCUUUCAACCUUCAAUUUAUAUGGAAGUGCGACGUAAGUCGCACUCCAUAUGGAGUAGCACCCGAGCCUUAGGUUGAAUCGAAGAAUCAGGUUGAGAAUCAAUCCGUAAUUUGCAUCACUUUCCUCUUAAAACCCAGAGAAAAAACUUUUUUGUUGAUGGACACAUGGCCCACUGCCCCCGAGCCUUUUGCCAACUAGUUUGGUAGGUAUAAGAGUCAACCUCUAGUCAACGUGACCAUCUCUGAAAGGAAACCUUAUCUCUUCCUAACAUAGAGGUAACUGCCAAUCAUGUGUCCCAAAAUCUCGAGUUUCCUUUAAAUAGAAAUCCCUUUAUUUGUGCCGUUAUUACCGUGCCACUAUGAUAAAUAACGGAGGAAGUUAUCCCUUCUAUUUUAUCUUCACCAAUUGCCUUUCCAACCUCCAUACUGUAGCCCUAGCGCCGCUGCCAUUAUUCGAUCUUCGAACACUUGCGCCACCAUCUCCCCACCAAGCAGCCCCCAAGCGAAUUCAACUGAAAAUGCUAAUGACAUCGAAGAUGGGAAGAAAGGUUGUUGCGUCCAAAGCGGUCGAGGGCGAGAGAAGAAAAGGUCUGAUAAGAAGAAGGAGCCACAGUUGCUAGUGCCGAAGUACGGGAAGACCGAUCAGAUUGCACCGUCGAAUCCUAUCUACGCCUGAAAGCGGUUAAUUCUGAAGGAGGAGGAUAUCAAGGCACUCGUAGCCACCAAUGUACUCCAAGGUCAGGAAUUCAUCAACUGGAGAUCUACAUAUGGCAAUGCCUACCCUUUGGAGUCCUACCCCGAUGAGACGGUAAUUUUUGCCCACUUCAUUAAGCGGGGCCUUGCAUUACUCUCGUCAGAUUUCUUCCGAGAUUUAUUGUAUUACUAUAAAUUGGAGUUGGUGCAUCUGAACCCCAAUGGAAUCCUCCAUACUACAAUCUUUGCUCAUUUGUGCGAAUCCUUUCUGGGAUUAGGCCUCACUUUCAGUUAUUCCGGAAAAUUUUCCAAGUGAAGCCUCGACCUGCAAAAGGUCAUACCCUCGUGGUUGGACACGUCAGGAUCUAGAUGGAGGAGACAAUGAGCAGCCAGUAUCUGGAUUACAAGUUGAUAGACUCCAAUGCUAGGUGGAAGGAGAAGUGGUGCUACAUUAGCAACCAUGAUCUGAAACUACCCAAGCUGACAGGACAUCACCUCUUGGAACAACCGCUGGCUUGAUGAGCCAAAGCAUGGUGAUUGCCUGCAAGUACCCGAGCUAGUGAAGUGAAUAGAAGAUCGGAAAGAACAAGGUUUGAUCGGUCUUGGCGUCGCAUUCAACUUUAUGAAGCGACGGAUUUAGCCGCUGCAGCAGCGCUGUCACUAGGCUACGAGUACACCAGCCUUGAUGAUCCUUCCAGAUUCUCUCCAGAUGAAAUCAGCAUGGAUGAAAUCAUGGCGAGGCUUAAGCAUAUGUUGAAGAAUGUGGGCGAUAUCCCCACUAUUGUGCAGGAAUUCAGUGCCGCCAACCUGCCGAAUCCUGUAAGUACCCGUGGCUUGAGCCCUCGUGUACUUAUUUUGAAUGUACUUGUCAUCUGACUUGUUUCAUUUUGUAGGAAGAUGUUGCGUUGUACUUCUCUGCUCCUCCUCCUCCUAGAUCCAAAGAAUUCUGUGAAGCCGCUCCUCAUGUUUUUACUCAAGAAGGCAUGAGAGGUGAUGACUAGAAGGAAAAAGUAGUCAAGUCCUCCAGCGGCACUAGUUUUGAUGCUGUGGAAAAAUAUUAAGUCGAGGCUCGACCAUCUGCGAAGGUUGGAUCUUCCUCUAUAGUGAAGAAAUGCUCAGCUACAGAUGAGCUUGAAGCCACGAUCCCUCCACCUCCGAAGAAGAAAUGGACCAUUGCAUUAAAAUGGGUCGUGAAGAAAUCCAUUGUUGCGGAUGAUGUACCCCCCUUGGUAAUUUACCUAUGAGGAACGACAAGGUUCUGAGUAUCAUAUACUCCCAAAAAUAUGUCUCCAAUGUCACCGGCAUGACUAACUAAGAUGAUACUGGUGGUUUGUAGGUACUCGACGAGGCGACCAAAGCGAAGAAGGCAGCUGCUGUGGCCACUCAAAACAAGUCCCCAAUCAUUGAGGAGUUGAUCGAGAUUGAGGAUGAUCCUGAGCCUCAAGAUAUCGUUCCGGUUGAUCCCUAGGUGGUGAACCCUACUGGUGUAGACACAACUCAAGCAGCAGAGGCAAAGCUCAAAGUUGGCCAAUAUCCCAUUAUGGAUGUGCAGGCCACGCCAAAAGCAUUGUCUGCAACUGUCAAGCCACUGCGACUAUUUGGUAAACCCACCCUACGGCUGAGAAGGUCUUCAAAGUAAUAUUUAUGCUCCUUUCGAGUACUAAUUGUAAUUCAAAAUCGACUUGUUGUGUCACAAAAGCUUUGUGGUAUGCAAGAAAUCCUCUAAUAUGGAACUGUCGGGGCCUAGCCAAAAAACAAGUAAUGAUGGCCUUAGCCCCUCAGCAAAAUAUCUUGCCCCGGCGCCGGCAACCCUCAGGCCUCAAGAGGAACCUGAAGGAACAACGACCACUCCGAGUGCUGUAGCCAGUGUAGUUACAUUGAUGCACAAGGUAGUCGAGUCAAUGGCAAAUGUAGAAGUGCUAGCCCCCGAGCCAUUUCCCAAGGGCCCAGCGACUACUCUUGGUGUCGUGGCCUCUCCUGUAGCCCCCAAGCCAGUUGUAGAGAUUGAAACGGCAUCAACUCUGGAAGCCAUAGUGAUGGAAGCUGCAGCGGCUAGACCAUCAAGUAGUCAUGGCCUGGUGCCGCAAGGAGAAUUCCAUGCAGAAUCUGGAGCCGAUAAGAAUAUCCGUCUGGAAGACAUCCAAUUGAUUAACGCCCCAUUACUGAACCCUGAAAUGGUGUCACUGAUGAUGGAGUCGCAUCGUCGCCUAGGCAACUAUAUGUUGUAUAUCCUCCUUCCCUUGUCUUGUUAGAAAUAAUUAGUAAACUUUUACUCAUGAAUUGCCACGAGUACUGAUUUUUGUGCUAUAGAACAUCAUUGAGUGCUCCCACCACAAGUCAAAGAUGCUUGAAGGGUAUGGUGAUAUCGUACUUCGUGCUGAGGCGCUAGAGGUGGAGCUUGCCAAAGAGAAAGAGUACUCCUCGUGGUUACUUAUGAAGUUUGAUGGGACAACUGCUGAGUACGGCAAUUGCAUUUAGGAGCUCACGAAACAAAACGAUCAUCUUGUUGGGAGGAAAAGGUCCUUGACCUAGAAAGUAAAAGGUAAUCCUUUACUCUUGCAACUUGUGUCUUUUGAUUCUGCUCUGUAGUCUUUGACCGUUAUUUUAUAUCCAUGUAUAGCUUUGAAAAAGGCCAAGAGGGAUCUCGAGGUGCAGGUUACAGAUUGGAAGAAUUCUUAUUACCAUGUGACCGACCAACAUGAUAAGCUUGUACUUCAUGUCGAGAAGCUAGAGGAUCACCUUGAGAAGGAGAAAAAGAUGCACGAGGAUGGCAAAGCUGACCUUGUUCAAGCUAUGGAGACUUUGAAGAGCCAUGAGAUGGAGAAUGCGUCCUUUGCUCUAAAGCAAAUCUGUGAAGCCACCCAGCCCAUUUUGAAAGAUUUUGAAAGAUUCUACAGAACAUAAGUAAAACAAAAGUUUAAGACAAAAACCAAAACAAAAGUUUAAGACAAAAACCAAAGCAUAGCAGUAAGGAUGAGGUAAAAUCAAGAUGAAGAUUAUUUUAAGCUGACUUAAAUUAAGAAAAGGUAGGAAUGGCUACUAUAUUAUUAUAAUCCUUAAAUACGAUCCUUUUCUAACUAGGCUAACGUCCUACAGUCAACACGGCUCUGGUACCACUUUUGUCACACCCGAUUUUAAGGACAAAAUCGAGUGCAUUAAAUACAUGUGCGCCAGGAUCAAGUUACACACAUGUACGACAAGAGUGAAUAACAAAGACAGUGCUAAAGCGAAUAAAGAGAGUAUUAAACAUUAUUACAUGACCGAAAGUCUCAAUAAAACAUAGGCCUAAUUUAUUACGCAGCGGAACUCCAAAGAUGAUGACGACACCACAGGCAGCUGACUGAAGAACCGUACACCUAGAACUCCUCAAAGUCGUGCAGAUACUCCUAUCAAUUAGCUUGGUCUGAACAACGGUUUUGCAAGGGUGAGUACACUUAUGGUUGGUACUCAACAAGUCGUGGGGAAUAGUGUAGUGUAAGGCAAAUCAAGGUAUGGCUAAGGCUAAAUUAGCAUUAGCUUUUAAUUAAGUUGGUCAAGUUUUAUUAGCAAUUAACUAAGUAUAAGUUUAUACCACCCGAAAUUAAACAUGAGCAUAAAUAAAGUAAAAACAUAACCAUAAAAGAAAUGACAACAAUUUAAAUCCAUCUUUCGAUAGCAUUAUCAUGUGAGGGUCCAGGCCGCUCUUAACCGUGAGCCCGGCUGAUCGAUCAGUUUUACACUCUGCAGAGGUUGUACAUCUUUACCCACAAGUCGUGUAAAAGUUCAAAAGAACUUUGGACCCAACCAUGCGGUGUUUGCAAGGCACCAUACCACACUUCCGAGGUGUGAUUGCAUAGGGACGCUACGAGGCCUUUACAAAGAUUCAUUAGUUAGUGGUAACCCGCUAAGGUUUCGGUGUCUGGCGUGCACAACCUAUCAUAAGCCGCUAAUGCAACGACUCAGUCCCCCCUCUUGCCUCAUCACGAGUAAGAUUACCCCAGACUAAGGUUUCUAAUUAUUCAGCCAAGACCAGAGCCAUUUAGUCUUGUGGUAGCACUGUUUUCCUGGGUGGUUCUCCAUGUUCCGAUUAAACACUUGUGAUCUUGUAUUAAUGAAAGGUAUGACAGAAGUAAAGCAAGAUUGAACAUUGUGCUCAGUUAAACCACCAUACCAAGUAAGCACUAAGCAUGAGCUACCCAACAUAAAGUAAACCGGUUGGUCAAGGCAAAGGUAAUUCGAUCUAGGCGAACCUUAAUUGGGACCCAUCAAUUUAAUUUUAACAUGUGCAUAGCAUAAAUGUUGAGUACGAGAAAGUAAAAGUGUAUAGGACGAAAAGUAGUGAUCAAGGACACGACUUGCCUUCUUGGCCUUGCUCUUGUUGUUCGUACUCCUCGAAAGCUUGAUCUUCAAAUCCCUCGAACUGCUGAACGUGUACACGCGUCACACGAGCACAUACAAGCAAAUAAAUACAAUACAUAAGAAAACAGUACACCAAUCAUAAUUAAACAGAGAAAACAUGUUCGAAAAUCUAUUCUACGCAUUAAAACGAACACACGGAUAUAAAGAACGUUAAAAACGAAGCUAUAAAGCAAAAGAUAUGCUUAAAACAAGAUGCAGGGGUAUAACUACGAGAAAAACUAAGAUUACAAGGAUCUGGUUUUAAAUAGUCUUGAGGUGCGGGAGGAUAUCAACGCAAAACGCAGAAACUGCAGGGGUUAAAGUGCAAAAGCGCGGCUGCUGACUCGGCUGAAUUGAUGUGGACCGUCGGAUGGCGAUCCGGCGGCCGGCAGCUGCUGCGCUGACAUCAGCGACGGCGAGCGGCGGCGGAAAACGGCAGUUCGCCGGAAUCGCCCGGGAACGCGCGACUGGGUGCAGAUUUGAGCGAGGAUUAGACCAGCAAAUAGAAACGAGCGCAAUGAACUCAUUUGGGAUGCUGACGGCGAGGACUUGGCGGCGGCAUAGGCUCCGGCAACAACUUGCGGCAAGGAAAACAAAUAAAAUAAAACAAAACGCAGGGAUGCACGGGCGAUGUGUAGCCGGGUCUUCACCUUCCCGCGGAGCUUCUGGUGGAGGUGAGGACGACGAAGGGGUGACGGCAGCGCGCACAGAGGAGUUCGAGCGUGGCGGCAGAUGCUUCGGGUGGCGGCGCAAGGAAGCUGUAGAUGCGAAAAAGCUUGCGGUUUUGGGGAAAAAGGAAGUGGCGGUGGCCUUUUGUACCAGCCCUGGCGAGUGGGUCCGCAUCGAGUCGGACGCGGGCGCGGCACGCACACGGUCCGGGCUUGAGUCCGAUUCAGAGAAGCGGCGCUGGAGGAACGCGAGCGAUUUUGCGUGCGAGCGGAAGAAAACGCUGC